Molecule: RNA transcript, 5279 nt
Organism: Austrofundulus limnaeus
Lineage: Eukaryota; Metazoa; Chordata; Actinopteri; Cyprinodontiformes; Rivulidae
Gene: rprd2a
Gene name: regulation of nuclear pre-mRNA domain containing 2a
Exons: 12
Source: RefSeq, a predicted model, not a curated record
UUUAUUCCCACACCAGGAUGUCGUAAGGCGCUAAGUUUUAACCAUAAGUGUCAAAUAAUAAAACUGAUUUUCUCUGGCCUACAGCCUCACUCUGGAUCAUCUGAGGGCACAGAAAAUACAGCUAAGCUAAAGUUUAUUAUGUGUAGAAUUCCGGCGCGGAACCGAGCGGAUGCGGAACGCGAUUUUUGUAUGUGUAGCGUCUAAGCUAACCAUGCUAAGCUAAAGCGGCUAACUUCAUUUUGUAAUGAUAAAGUGAAAAAAAAGCUAAGCUCCUGCGAUCAUUAUGGCAGCGGGAACAGGCGCCGCUUCGGGCGCAUCUCUGGAGUCCUCUCUGGACAGGAAGUUUCGAAAUGUGACAAACACGAUGGACUCCAUUCAAGGACUAUCAACGUGGUGUAUAGACAACAAGAAGUACCACAGCCUCAUUGUGCGCCACUGGAUGAAGUGUGUGAGGAAAGCUAACGCCUCCCACCGGCUCAACUUGGUAUACCUCGCCAACGAUGUCAUUCAAAACUGCAAAAGAAAGAACGCCAUCGUUUACCGAACGGCUUUUGCCGACGUGCUACCAGACGCCUUCUUACUGAUCAACAGUGAAGGAGACCCCAAUAUGAUAAAAUCAGUGGAGAGGAUUCUGUCCAUCUGGGAGGAGAGGGACAUGUAUUCGGGGACGCUCAUUACUGAGCUUAGGAAUACUUUAGCUAAAGAAGAGUCCCCUCCUGAGACACCCGUGGAGCAAAAAACUCCGCUUGAGUCUAAAGCAGAUCUGCGGUCCAAGAUUGUGGCUGAGUUUGUGCCGCAGGCGUUAAUGGAACAACUGUCCAAGUACAAGAGAUCUCUGGAGGAGGUUGAUCUCAGAGAAAAACAGCUGUCUGCCAUGAGGGUUGACAUCUUCAGUUCGGAUGCUCUCAAGAAACUCAAAGAUAAAGCAGGAGGAAAGAAAUUCUCCAGGGACUUUGAGGAGGGAAGCGCACAGCUGCAGGAGUUUGUGAAGUUCUUUGAGCAACAAUCCAAAGUUGGUCCUCCGCUCCUGGAAGCACUCAGCAAUGCAGAUAUCUUUUAUGAAAUGCAGUACAAAGAGGUCAAGAUUGUCGCUAACGCUUACCAAACAUUUGCAAACCGGGUGAACCACCUCAAACGUAAACUGGACGCCCUGAAAGCCAACCUACCAGACCUGGACGACUCGCCCAUCCCCUCGCCUUCUGCAGACGCACCUUCUCCAACCGGCUCAGAGUCCCCGUUUCACGGCUUGGAGCUGGCCCAUCCUGACCCAGAUCUCGAUGGUUCCGCCAUGGAUGACGAUACCGAACCACCGGCCCCGAGCCCUUUGUCCUCACCGGGCGGGUCGCCCAAAGGCGCAGACGUUCUCGGAGGAAACGACAACCGCGAAGUGGAGGACAUGGAGCUCUCGGAUGAGGAAACGGACGGCGGUGGAAUCAUAGUCGAGGAGUCGAUUGAACCCGAGCGCCCACCAGAGAACCCCGCUCCAGUUCCUGAAACAAUUGAACCGGCAGUAGCGACAGAGCCAAUUGUCCCUGAGGUCGCCCCGAGUGCAGCUGUUCCUGCAGCCGCCGUGCAAAGUGUCGACAUGGACAAAAUUGGCUCCAUCCUCAACAGCAUCAACCCAGUAACGAAGAACACAGGGCCUGUGAUGGAGAGUCCUCCUGCAGCUGCACCCAUUAGUUCCUUUACGAAGCCCAAACUUGCUCCUUUGAUCCUACAAGACGCCAGUUCUUUAAUUAAUCUCCUCUCCAAGGUGGAUAUGAGUCCUGCAGACCUCCUCAGUGCUCUGUCCAAAGUUCAGGGUCAAAGCACUCAGAAAGGCGUCACUUCUCGCCUGUCACCCAAUGUUGCCCCAAAUUCCCUGACUGCAGACAACAACACCCCAUCUCCGUUAUCCACGUCAUCAUCAGAGGUUCCCUCUCGGAGCGCGUCUCCCUCCCUCACAGCACCUGAGCCUCCUUCAUCCGGCUCUGCUGUGCAGCAAAGCGUGAGCGCUCCAGCAGCCCCCGAAACGUCGAACAAAGCUUCUGCUCUGGUCCAAGCUCUUCACAGAGACAUGGACCUGGCCACAGAAACAGAACCGUCCUACUCCUCUGUGAGUUUAGAGUCUAAAAUCCACAACUUCCUGCAGGGAAACCCCGUCUUUAGUUCGUUUGACUUGAAGUUUUCGACAAACCCAGCACCGGAAGGGGACACUUUCAGCCCCGUGGCUGGCGCAGACAACCAAGAAGGGACCCCAGUUAGGGACGAAGGAGGAGGGACCCCAACUCAAGACGAGAUCAUGGACAAGCCAGCGGUGGUCCCGUUCACGUCUGGCAUAAAUCCGUUAGCAGUCGGUGACAUGGUCAAAUCAGCUUCUGUGUUGUUUGAUAACGGCACACAGCAGAUUCCCAACAAUCCUCCUCAUCGAGCUCACUCGCUGCCGAGUGUGGCUCAGAACGGCCAGCUCUUCCACACAUUCCCAUACGGCAAACAGGAUUUAUCACAGGGUGGGAUUACCGCACCUGUUGCACAUUAUCCUGUGCAGACAGCAGGGCCUGUACCUGGAGAUGGAGCUCCAGGCAUCGCCGGUGGCACACAGACAGUCGAGAGCUUUAAAGGGGGGAAUGAACACGGUUGGUUUGGUGAUGGUUACCCAGAGGGGAGCUCUCUGCAGCCCGGCGGCUACAACGUGCUGCCGCCUGGGGGGGCCGGAGAAAACAACACAUCAGGGCUUUAUCCAUACCAAACAGAGAACAUGCAGCAGCCACAACAGUCACUGGGGUCCAUUGCAGUUCCUUCCUUCUUUAAAAGCACCCUUCCUCCUGUCCCGAAGCUUCCACCGCCUCCGUCUGGUUUUGAGCUCCCGCCGUCCUCUGGUGUUCUGAUGAACCCAGAGCAGGAGCCUGUUCCCGGUGUGAACGCAGGGGGGGUGUUUGAAAACAGGGGGGACGGCAAUAUGAGCAGGACGGUGGUUCAGGAUCAUCAGCACGCGUCGUCGAUGCUUCCGGACAAUUUGUUCCACGAGCCACACCGCCCUCACCCAGAUGACCUGCGUUACCAGGAGGACCCGAGGCAUUACCACGACGAGCCUGGACCACACGAUGACCAUUUCUUUCACAACGAACCCUACUGCCCCCCAAACGAGCCCUAUUUUAGACCGGGAAGUCCCCCGCACCCCUACCCAAGAGUUCGAGGGCACCUCACGCCCCCGCUCUCACCCUCGGGAGACCAUUUCUUCUCUCAUGACUACCAGCGGCACAGUCUUCCCCCUCGACCUCCAAGCUACGCUCCGAGGCGACCGCCGCCCCCCCGCGAAAUCCGCCAUCCUGCCCCGAGGCCUCUGCAUCGCCCCCCUCAUCCAGCUCUCCACCCCCACGCCAGGGGACCGCCUCGUCCACCUUUCCCUCGCUUCCAGGGCCCUGACUCGAGGUUAAGAGGCAAGCGGCCAGAUCUAAGAGGGCGGGGUCCGAUGUUUCCUCCAAAAAGACCCUAUCUGCCACCACGGUACUGACGGACCGGCCCCACAGAGCGCACACGCUGCCCCCGUGAAGCCUCUGAAAAGGUGGAAGCAGUUACCUGACGGUGCAGAUACUCGUGUGGGCAUCAGAGGACAGUGAAACUGAAGGAUCCACCCGAAGAAGACAGGAAGUGGAGACGGAUAGAGGAAGUCCGGCUGCAGGAAAGACACGGAGACUCCGAGACGACAGCUGAGCUGAAGACAGAAGAUUAAAGAAAAUAAAAGGGAUCUGGAGCCACUUUGAUGUGUCUGAUGUGAUGGAGAGGCUCCCCCACAUGUUAGCCUGAUGAUGGUGGUGGAGGUGCUGCAGGUGGAGCCUGGUUCAUAAUUCACAAGACGCAAGACAUUCGGUCCUGCUGACGGAGCUGUGAGACGUUCUUUUUCACGGCAACACAACAGAAACACGUCAACAAAAUGAAUGUUUAUUUUGAGUUGAUGGUAGAGGAGUUGAAGGAGGAACCACGAGUUUUUACCUGCACACUUGGAAGCCGAGUCACGUCGACACCGGCUGCCUCGGCACCGCAUGGAAGGUUAGUGAUAACUGCAACUGUCUUGUGUGCAUUUUAGUCCUUUUUGCAAAUAUUGAACUAAAGAUGUGGUGUGGUAUCCUAAAAUCAUCCUCAGCGGAUAACAUGAUCACUAGGAAUCAGGAAAAAUCUAAUAUGGAAACUUUGCCCAACGUGUUUUUUUCACCAGAAUACUGGCUUUAUUUAAGUAAUCCUUAUUUUUCGAAAUGGUUAAACUUAAAAGAUGCAAACACCUAUUUAACAUAACUUUAGGUGGCUAUUAUAAACCAAUCACAUAAAAUCUAAAUUAUUUCUGAGAUAAAUCAUUUCAUUUUCAUAUAUUUAAUCAUCUUAGAUCAGUUGAGUUUUAUUCAUCUGCUUUUUCUUUGUAAUACGGCUUUUAAAAAAUCGUAUAUAUGAUCAGCUGCAGCAGGAAUUAAAUCCCUAAUUUAAUCCAUGUUCUACUUUUAGUUAGUCCUCGUCAGUUCUGAGAGUUUUUAAUGCAACAUUUUUGUUUUGUUUUAGUAUUUUAUUUUAUUUUGGCUCAGAAUGGAUGCAUCAUUCGGUAAAAUCCCAUUGAAAUCCUGCAGACAGCUUGUUUUUCCUCUCCUGUGUUGGACAUGAAUAUUAACGCUCCUUCUGGCGUCAUCGUGUGUUUGUCACCAGAUGUCGUUGUUGGUUAUAAACGUGGGAAAAAACGACACAAAUCACGUUUCUGAAUUUCGUCUCUGAUCAAUUUAAUGUUCCGAGACGGAAGCUUUAGCUUUAAAAAAAAAUCUAAUAUAAACGACGUGGAUUCCACAGAGAGAUUUGUGUUUAAUCUCCAUCCAUGUUACCGGAGCAGAUCGUGACUCCUUUGAAGUGGCGGGUUGUGCGCAUGCGCGGUGCCCGCUGUCAUGUGGGCUCAUUGUUUACAUGCUGCCGAAAUCUCAAAGAGGGCGUGUUUUCUGCCCGCGCGUCGUCUGAAAUGACAUUUUAUAGAAACAACUCGGGACAUUUUUCUUUCUUUUCUCCCAUCCGGCUCUGAUUGACAAUUUAAUCAAGCCGCGUCGUUGUGGCCCGAGCGGAGACGAGACGUUUCAGAACCACGGCCAGCUCCGCGGUGAGAACAAAAGGCGGAUUUCAGGCUUUUGAUGUCAGGGAACGUCGACGAUUUACCUUCUUCAAUAAAAACGAAAACUCCUCUGAGCAUCUCAAUCCCACUUAUAGCUCAGGAUAUUGUUUUUACAACUACAAUUUUCAGCAGAAAAUAAAAAUUAUUUUACUCUAUGGGA